UCUUCGGUACUGCAAACUUAACCGCUAAUGGCGCUGUGGGUGGAGAAACGUUUGUUAGGUAGCGUUAUAUAUUGUUAUCUGGUGUUCCCUAUACCGAAAACGGCGGGAGGUACCCAGACCAGGUGUCCACUUUGCAUGUUGCUUGAAAAUUGCAAUUCAUUCCUUUACAUUGACAUUUAAACCAGUGAUUCUAAGGCAGAGUUGGGGCGGAGGGAGGAGAAUUUUGAACAAGCGGAGCCAAUUUUCCUCUCAUUUCUAAUUACAGGCAACAACAGAAUUCUGCGAAACUUGGUUAGUUGGAGGAGUACACCAAAAAUAAAGUACCGGAGCCAGCACGGCUUCAAAAAAAUUAGGAUCAGUACCGCUAGCAGCGAACGCAUAAGAAGGGCUUCCUGUAUGCCUACGUAUCUUGUUUAAGUCUAAAGACAUGUACUCUGUUUAUCCCCUUUUUUUGAGACGAGGAAAUAGACCCAACAUGCCCGAGAUCACACAUUUUACAAGGAAGAGGGGUGAAAGUCACAGAAGAGACUGGAAAGGGAGGAAGAAAAGAAAAACAUUUUUCUCUUUGCUUCCAUGAAGCCACAGAGUGCUUUGAAUAGUGCCUGGCAUAAAGCUUGUUACAUCAUGGUUGCAGGAUGGCUGCUACAGCUCUGGACAUCACAUCAAAAUAUGGCAGAAGCUAAAGCAGGAAGACAGAGAAGGAGGCAAGACAGCUUUAUUCACUUGUGGCUCUCAUAUGAAAAAUAAAGAUAUUUCUCGAAA
Molecule: long non-coding RNA, 762 nt
Organism: Pongo pygmaeus (Bornean orangutan)
Lineage: Eukaryota; Metazoa; Chordata; Mammalia; Primates; Hominidae
Exons: 3
Source: RefSeq, a predicted model, not a curated record